GGGUUGUGAGGUUAAGCGACUAAGCGUACACGGUGGAUGCCCUGGCAGUCAGAGGCGAUGAAGGGCGUGCUAAUCUGCGAUAAGCGCCGGUAAGGUGAUAUGAACCGUUAUAACCGGCGAUACCCGAAUGGGGAAACCCAGUGUGAUUCGUCACACUAUCAUUAACUGAAUCCAUAGGUUAAUGAGGCGAACCGGGGGAACUGAAACAUCUAAGUACCCCGAGGAAAAGAAAUCAACCGAGAUUCCCCCAGUAGCGGCGAGCGAACGGGGAGGAGCCCAGAGCCUGAAUCAGCAUGUGUGUUAGUGGAAGCGUCUGGAAAGGCGCGCGAUACAGGGUGACAGCCCCGUACACAAAAGCGCAUGUGCUGUGAGCUCGAUGAGUAGGGCGGGACACGUGGUAUCCUGUCUGAAUAUGGGGGGACCAUCCUCCAAGGCUAAAUACUCCUGACUGACCGAUAGUGAACCAGUACCGUGAGGGAAAGGCGAAAAGAACCCCGGCGAGGGGAGUGAAAAAGAACCUGAAACCGUGUACGUACAAGCAGUGGGAGCACAGGUUUACCUGUGUGACUGCGUACCUUUUGUAUAAUGGGUCAGCGACUUAUAUUCUGUAGCAAGGUUAACCGUAUAGGGGAGCCGUAGGGAAACCGAGUCUUAACCGGGCGUUAAGUUGCAGGGUAUAGACCCGAAACCCGGUGAUCUAGCCAUGGGCAGGUUGAAGGUUGGGUAACACUAACUGGAGGACCGAACCGACUAAUGUUGAAAAAUUAGCGGAUGACCUGUGGCUGGGGGUGAAAGGCCAAUCAAACCGGGAGAUAGCUGGUUCUCCCCGAAAGCUAUUUAGGUAGCGCCUCGUGAAUUCAUCUCCGGGGGUAGAGCACUGUUUCGGCUAGGGGGCCAUCCCGGCUUACCAACCCGAUGCAAACUGCGAAUACCGGAGAAUGUUAUCACGGGAGACACACGGCGGGUGCUAACGUCCGUCGUGAAGAGGGAAACAACCCAGACCGCCAGCUAAGGUCCCAAAGUCAUGGUUAAGUGGGAAACGAUGUGGGAAGGCCCAGACAGCCAGGAUGUUGGCUUAGAAGCAGCCAUCAUUUAAAGAAAGCGUAAUAGCUCACUGGUCGAGUCGGCCUGCGCGGAAGAUGUAACGGGGCUAAACCAUGCACCGAAGCUGCGGCAGCGAACGUAUCACUUAAAGCGAUUCAGCGGGUUACGAUUGACGGAGCGAAGCGACGUCAAAGCGUAUACAAAGUCGAGUCGGUUUAAGGAUACGUUCGUUGGGUAGGGGAGCGUUCUGUAAGCCUGUGAAGGUGGCCUGUGAGGGUUGCUGGAGGUAUCAGAAGUGCGAAUGCUGACAUAAGUAACGAUAAAGCGGGUGAAAAGCCCGCUCGCCGGAAGACCAAGGGUUCCUGUCCAACGUUAAUCGGGGCAGGGUGAGUCGACCCCUAAGGCGAGGCCGAAAGGCGUAGUCGAUGGGAAACGGGUUAAUAUUCCCGUACUUGGUGUUACUGCGAAGGGGGGACGGAGAAGGCUAUGUUGGCCGGGCGACGGUUGUCCCGGUUUAAGCGUGUAGGCUGGUUUUCCAGGCAAAUCCGGAAAAUCAAGGCUGAGGCGUGACGACGAGGCACUACGGUGCUGAAGCAACAAAUGCCCUGCUUCCAGGAAAAGCCUCUAAGCAUCAGGUAACAUCAAAUCGUACCCCAAACCGACACAGGUGGUCAGGUAGAGAAUACCAAGGCGCUUGAGAGAACUCGGGUGAAGGAACUAGGCAAAAUGGUGCCGUAACUUCGGGAGAAGGCACGCUGACACGUAGGUGAAGUGAUUUACUCACGGAGCUGAAGUCAGUCGAAGAUACCAGCUGGCUGCAACUGUUUAUUAAAAACACAGCACUGUGCAAACACGAAAGUGGACGUAUACGGUGUGACGCCUGCCCGGUGCCGGAAGGUUAAUUGAUGGGGUCAGCGCAAGCGAAGCUCCUGAUCGAAGCCCCGGUAAACGGCGGCCGUAACUAUAACGGUCCUAAGGUAGCGAAAUUCCUUGUCGGGUAAGUUCCGACCUGCACGAAUGGCGUAAUGAUGGCCAGGCUGUCUCCACCCGAGACUCAGUGAAAUUGAACUCGCUGUGAAGAUGCAGUGUACCCGCGGCAAGACGGAAAGACCCCGUGAACCUUUACUAUAGCUUGACACUGAACAUUGAGCCUUGAUGUGUAGGAUAGGUGGGAGGCUUUGAAGUGUGGACGCCAGUCUGCAUGGAGCCGACCUUGAAAUACCACCCUUUAAUGUUUGAUGUUCUAACGUGGACCCGUGAUCCGGGUUGCGGACAGUGUCUGGUGGGUAGUUUGACUGGGGCGGUCUCCUCCUAAAGAGUAACGGAGGAGCACGAAGGUUGGCUAAUCCUGGUCGGACAUCAGGAGGUUAGUGCAAUGGCAUAAGCCAGCUUGACUGCGAGCGUGACGGCGCGAGCAGGUGCGAAAGCAGGUCAUAGUGAUCCGGUGGUUCUGAAUGGAAGGGCCAUCGCUCAACGGAUAAAAGGUACUCCGGGGAUAACAGGCUGAUACCGCCCAAGAGUUCAUAUCGACGGCGGUGUUUGGCACCUCGAUGUCGGCUCAUCACAUCCUGGGGCUGAAGUAGGUCCCAAGGGUAUGGCUGUUCGCCAUUUAAAGUGGUACGCGAGCUGGGUUUAGAACGUCGUGAGACAGUUCGGUCCCUAUCUGCCGUGGGCGCUGGAGAACUGAGGGGGGCUGCUCCUAGUACGAGAGGACCGGAGUGGACGCAUCACUGGUGUUCGGGUUGUCAUGCCAAUGGCACUGCCCGGUAGCUAAAUGCGGAAGAGAUAAGUGCUGAAAGCAUCUAAGCACGAAACUUGCCCCGAGAUGAGUUCUCCCUGAGACUUAGAGUCUCCUGAAGGAACGUUGAAGACGACGACGUUGAUAGGCCGGGUGUGUAAGCGCAGCGAUGCGUUGAGCUAACCGGUACUAAUGAACCGUGAGGCUUAACCUUACAACGCCGAAG
This 3008-nucleotide ribosomal RNA is filed under the name Salmonella enterica subsp. enterica serovar Anatum. RNAcentral describes it as "23S ribosomal RNA". It matches the Rfam family "Bacterial large subunit ribosomal RNA". Lineage: Bacteria; Pseudomonadati; Pseudomonadota; Gammaproteobacteria; Enterobacterales; Enterobacteriaceae. The record is from RNAcentral.